Molecule: non-coding RNA, 184 nt
Filed under: Paenibacillus sp.
Lineage: Bacteria; Bacillati; Bacillota; Bacilli; Caryophanales; Paenibacillaceae
Also listed under: 1 other name
Description: Lysine sequence
Rfam family: Lysine riboswitch aptamer
About the family: Riboswitches are metabolite binding domains within certain messenger RNAs that serve as precision sensors for their corresponding targets.
Source: RNAcentral
AGAUGAGGUAGAGGUCGCAAACAUGAUGAUUAGGCGUGCGGAGGCGAAGAGUCGCUCAUGAUGCACGAGGAAAGGCUUGUUUGCCGAAGUGCCGGGGAGACUCUGAUCACCCGGAGCUGGGGCCGUCGCCGAACAGGCGCGGAACUGUCACGGGAGGUCCCUCCCGUGUUGAGCUAUCGUCAAG